RNAcentral lists this ribosomal RNA (309 nucleotides) under Triticum aestivum (bread wheat). Its description in RNAcentral is "partial small subunit ribosomal RNA". The record is from RNAcentral. Lineage: Eukaryota; Viridiplantae; Streptophyta; Magnoliopsida; Poales; Poaceae.
AUGUCCAUGCCCGAGGGGGAGGAAGACCAUAGCCCUACUCGUCCUCGAUCUUCCUCCUGCCCCGACAUGGGCAUGGCGGCCACCAGGCUCACGGACGACCUCCUCGUGGAGAUCCUCGCCCGCGUGCCCGCCAAAUCGCUCGCCCGCUUCAAGUGCGUCUCCAAGCACUGGCUGAGCCUCACCUUCGACCGCAGCCACCGCAGGAGGCUCCCCCAGACACUGUCCGGCUUCUUCUACAGCAGCACCGGCGAGGAGUGCUUCCUGGAGUCACCUGUCCAGUUCACCAGCGUCGGGGGCGUUCCUCCCUAG